Dipodomys ordii (Ord's kangaroo rat) is the source of this 107-nucleotide small nuclear RNA. NCBI's taxonomy places the organism in Eukaryota, Metazoa, Chordata, Mammalia, Rodentia, Heteromyidae. The record is from Ensembl.
GUGCUGGCCUCAGCCGCAUCGAUAUGCAAAUUGAAAGGGGACGGAGAAGAUUAGCAUGACCUCUGAGCAAGGAAGACACACAAAUUCAUGAAACAUUGCAUAUUUUU